AUUGAACGCUGGCGGCAGGCCUAACACAUGCAAGUCGAGCGGUUGACGGGAGCUUGCUCCCUGAUUCAGCGGCGGACGGGUGAGUAAUGCCUAGGAAUCUGCCUAUUAGUGGGGGACAACGUUUCGAGGGGACCGCUAAUACCGCAUACGUCCUACGGGAGAAAGCAGGGGACCGUCGGGCCUUGCGCUAAUAGUUGAGCCUAGGUCGGAUUAGCUUGUUGGUGAGGUAAUGGCUCACCAAGGCGACGAUCCGUAACUGGUCUGAGAGGAUGAUCAGUCACACUGGAACUGAGACACGGUCCAGACUCCUACGGGAGGCAGCAGUGGGGAAUAUUGGAGAAUGGGCGAAAGCCUGAUCCAGCCAUGCCGCGUGUGUGAAGAAGGUCUUCGGAUUGUAAAGCACUUUAAGUUGGGAGGAAGGGUUGUAGAUUAAUACUCUGCAAUUUUGACGUUACCGACAGAAUAAGCACCGGCUAACUCUGUGCCAGCAGCCGCCGUAA
This 500-nucleotide ribosomal RNA is filed under the name uncultured bacterium. Its description in RNAcentral is "partial 16S ribosomal RNA". It matches the Rfam family "Bacterial small subunit ribosomal RNA", at positions 30 to 523 of the family's 1533-position model. The record is from RNAcentral.